GGAAAGGUGAAAAGGACCCCGGGAGGGGAGUGAAAGAGAACCUGAAACCCUGUGUUUACAAGCUGUGGAAGUGCCUUAUGUGCACAACCGCGUACUUUUUGUAGAACGGUCCGGCGAGUUACGUUUACUGGCAAGGUUAAGUACUAUAGGUACGGAGCCGAAGGGAAACCAAGUCUUAAGAGGGCGCAGAGUCAGUAAGAGUAGACCCGAAACCGGGUGAUCUACCCAUGUCCAGGCUGAAGCUGCCGUAAGAGGUAGUGGAGGGCCGAACGCACAUCCGUUGAAAAGGGUGGCGAUGAGGUGUGGGUAGGGGAGAAAUUCCAAUCGAACCCGGAGAUAGCUGGUUCUCCUCGAAAUAGCUUUAGGGCUAGCCUCGAUUUAGUCUUAUGGAGGUAGAGCACUGAAUUUCCGCGGGGGCGUCAAAGCUUACCAAAGAAUAUCAAACUCCGAAUGCCAUGUAGAUGAUGAUCGGGAGUCAGACUGCACGAGAUAAGUUGGGCAGUCAAAAGGGAAAGAGCCCAGACCACCGGCUAAGGUCCCAAAGUGCGUGUUAAGUGGAAAAGGAUGUGGGAAUUCGAAGACAACUAGGAUGUUGGCUCAGAAGCAGCCAUACAUUCAAAGAGUGCGUAACAGCUCACUAGUCGAGAGUUCCUGCGCCGAAAAUGUCCGGGGCUGAAACACGACACCGAAGCCGUGGACUCGCAAUGCGAGUGGUAGAGGAGCAUUCUUAAAACCGACGAAGCUGUACCGGAAGGAGCAGUGGAGGGAUAAGAAGAGAGAAUGCCGGAAUGAGUAGCGAGAGAAAGGUGAGAAUCCUUUCGGCCGAAUAUCUAAGGUUUCCAGAGUAAAGCUGAUCUGCUCUGGGUAAGUCGGGGCCUAAGCACAGGUCGCAAGACGUAAGCGAUGGAUAACAGGUUUAGAUUCCUGUACCACGCAUUAUCAGAACUGUAGGGACGCAUGUGGAAAGCACGAGCCGGGAAUGGAAAGACCGGUACAAGCGGGGUAGGAGUUGUAUAGGCAAAUCCGUAUAACGAUCCAAAGACGUGAUGUGGAGUGAAAUAAAGUAACGAAGCGUGUGAGCCAUGUGCCGAGAAAAGCUGCUAUUGUGUAAUACGUGCCCGUACCGUAAACCGACACAGGUGGAUGAGGAGAGAAUCCUAAGGCCGACGGAAGAAGCAUUGUUAAGGAAUUCGGCAAAAUGACCCCGUAACUUCGGGAGAAGGGGUGCCUGCGAGAGCAGGCCGCAGAGAAUAGGCUCAAGCAACUGUUUAGCAAAAACACAGGUCUAUGCGAAACCGAAAGGUGAAGUAUAUGGGCUGACGCCUGCCCGGUGCUGGAAGGUUAAGAGGAGAGGUUAGCGCAAGCGAAGCUUUGAAUUUAAGCCCCAGUAAACGGCGGCCGUAACAAUAACGGUCCUAAGGUAGCGAAAUUCCUUGUCGGGUAAGUUCCGACCCGCACGAA
RNAcentral lists this ribosomal RNA (1461 nucleotides) under human gut metagenome. RNAcentral's name for it is "bacterial LSU rRNA". It matches the Rfam family "Bacterial large subunit ribosomal RNA", at positions 508 to 1996 of the family's 2925-position model. The record is from RNAcentral.